CGAUCUUGGCUGACCUUGCAAUGGAAGAUGUAUAUAUAGGUAAAGACAGGAAGAGGAGAGCAGAUAGCAUUUGAAGACAGCUUCUGACGAACUUGUAUCACCAUGAAGCUUACACUGCUCCUCGGUUUCUCGGUAGCCUUGAUGGUGGUGUUUACCUCAGUCACCGCUGAGCCGGAACCUGAGGCUGAUCCCGGCCUUGCCAGGUUAUUAUUCAAGGGCCUUGGUUAUGGCCGUUAUGGUAAAGGUGGCAAGGGUAAAGGCCUCUUUGGUAAAGGCUCUGGAAAGGGUUUGUUUGGAAAAGACUUUGGAAAAGGUCAUGGUGGUCAAGAACUGUUCUAUGAACCAGCUUACGUCCGUGUUCCUGCCUACCACCACCAGCCUACCUACGAGCAUUAGCAAUCCUAUCACUAACAGCCUAACAACGCCAUCCUACCCAACACCAACAGCCUACUUGCCACUAACAGUCCUCUUGACAUCACCAAUCUGCCUAUACCCAUCAGCCUACCAAUCAUUAACAGCCUCCCGACCAUCACGGUCACACGGCCGUCAAAGAGCAGCACUCCACCCACCACAACCAGGCCGCCUGUCACCAGCAGUUCGGCAGUGGAUCAUCAGUAACAGCGGCUCCCGUCUCCAGCUUGCCCGCGACAGGAGAGAGGCUCAUCCAUAUUACCCUACCGUACGGUAGGCACUCGUCAUUUAUGGCACAGUGAAAGUGGUGUCAGAGAGAGAGAGAGAGAGAGAGAGAGAGAGAGAGAAAGAGAGAGAGAGAGAGAGAGUGUGUGUGUGUGUGUGUGUGUGUGUGUGUGUAUGUCAGUGUGUGUGUACACGCACCACGUUUUAAGUGGUCGAUAGUGAUGAGAUUUUCCGUCUGUGUAAGAGGAUUAUCCCUGUAAGCAUUUUCAAUAAAAUUAACCCAUUAAGAUAUAAUUUAAUGUAUUUAUUUGUCUCUCAAAUGUAUAAGAAUUCAAAAUGAUUUUGUCUCCAUAGCUAAUGCUUUAUAUGUGAGAAUCUAAAAACCACUCUUCUUCUCGGCGCCUGAAAAAAAAAAAAAAAAAGGGAAAGCCAUAAAUGACUCGAAGCUAA
Long non-coding RNA from Scylla paramamosain (green mud crab), 1086 nucleotides. RefSeq lists it as uncharacterized. Lineage: Eukaryota; Metazoa; Arthropoda; Malacostraca; Decapoda; Portunidae. The transcript is spliced from 2 exons. The record is from RefSeq and is a predicted model, not a curated record.